UACGUAGGGUGCGAGCGUUAAUCGGAAUUACUGGGCGUAAAGGGUGCGCAGGCGGUUCUGUAAGUCAGAUGUGAAAUCCCCGGGCUUAACCUGGGAACUGCGUUUGAAACUACAGAGCUAGAGUGUGGCAGAGGGGGGUGGAAUUCCAUGUGUAGCAGUGAAAUGCGUAGAGAUAUGGAGGAACAUCGAUGGCGAAGGCAGCCCCCUGGGUUAACACUGACGCUCAUGCACGAAAGCGUGGGGAGCAAAC
This 250-nucleotide ribosomal RNA is filed under the name uncultured bacterium. RNAcentral's name for it is "partial 16S ribosomal RNA". It matches the Rfam family "Bacterial small subunit ribosomal RNA", at positions 524 to 773 of the family's 1533-position model. The record is from RNAcentral.